Molecule: non-coding RNA, 69 nt
Organism: Podarcis lilfordi (Lilford's wall lizard)
Lineage: Eukaryota; Metazoa; Chordata; Lepidosauria; Squamata; Lacertidae
Source: the annotation of a GenBank genome assembly
GCGGUAGCUCAGUGGCAGAGUAUUUGCCUUGCACGCAGGCGGCCACAGGUUCAAUCUCCGGCGUCUCCA